GGGAGGUUAUUCUGCAGAAAGAGAGGAAGAAUCAAGUGAGAAAUCUUGAAAAAAAAAUAGAGAAGAAAAAGUUAGGAAGAAAGUUUUUAGUUGCAAGAUAGUAGAGGUUCUGGAGGAUUUUUGGGGGAACGACUUCUGAGGAGGAAACUAAGUCUGGAAAAGAUGUAAGGCGAGCUAACCUUUCUAAGCUUUUAUGUUAAUUAUCUAAUACUAUUGUAUGACUAUUCAUGUAUUGAAUUAUUGUGUAUGCCUAUG
RNAcentral lists this long non-coding RNA (255 nucleotides) under Vigna radiata. RNAcentral describes it as "long non-coding RNA (VRAD_LNC018228)". Lineage: Eukaryota; Viridiplantae; Streptophyta; Magnoliopsida; Fabales; Fabaceae. The record is from RNAcentral.